AAUAAAGUAAGCUAAGUUUAAGCUGUUGGGUUCAUACCCCAGAAAUAGAUAUAUAUUCUCUUUAUUA
This 67-nucleotide transfer RNA is filed under the name Inopinoteuthis magna. Its description in RNAcentral is "Cirrothauma magna tRNA-Met". Lineage: Eukaryota; Metazoa; Mollusca; Cephalopoda; Octopoda; Cirroteuthidae. The record is from RNAcentral.